This is a long non-coding RNA of Camelus dromedarius (Arabian camel), 3267 nucleotides long. RefSeq lists it as uncharacterized. The record is from RefSeq and is a predicted model, not a curated record. The transcript is spliced from 3 exons. NCBI's taxonomy places the organism in Eukaryota, Metazoa, Chordata, Mammalia, Artiodactyla, Camelidae.
GAAGCUUUUAUCUUCUUUAUCUUUAGGAUGAACUAUCUUGGGGAAAAGUGAAAUUUUUAGAUGCAAGCAUGUAUGCUUAUUUUAAUAGCUCAUGCAGAAGUGAGAAAGAAUUUUUUUAAUUAAUGCAGAAGUGAGACAAUUCAAUUUUCGUAGGCACUGUAACAGUGUAUUCAUUCAUAAAAACAUACUAGAUGUAAAUCACAUUAUGCUUGUUGGUGAUUUUAGUUUGAGAAAAUCGUGCAGAGAGCAAAACAGAGAGAUUAGCCUUUAAGAGUAACAAGCCAGUAUUCAUUAAGCUCAUUCAUUCAUUCCACAAAUAUUUAUUUGUGCCUGCUGUGUGCAAGACACUGCUAGAUGCCAGAGACACGACGACGGUGAGAAAAAGCAUUCAGAGUCCUCAGUCUCCUGGAAUUUAUGAUUCAGCCAGAAUGAAUAGCAAGGACAAGUCUCAUUCACAUCCUGUCUAACUGAAUUCACGUGGGAAACCAAGGAAUAACCGAGGCUCCACUGGACAGCUGGAAGAAUCCACGCCUUGGAGUCACCCGUGUGCUGUGGUCCAGGCAAGGGAGAGAGAGCAGGCACUGUGAGCUGUCAGAAUCCACUCACUGCCGGCUUCCAAGAGGCUGUUUCGUUUGCUUAAAGCAAAUCAGUGGAAGAAAGUGCUGUCAAGCUCCAGCAGCUAGGAUGCUACCACUUGCUGUGGGUUGAGAGCGUCCGUCCAGGUUGCCAGUUAGUAAUCAGGAAUACCAGUAAAGAAUAUAACCCGUUUUAGUAAGCUUGUGCCUCCAGGGGAUGGAAGCGUCACGUGCAACUAUAGACCCACAUGUAACCCUCUCGUGUGCGGUAGUGAAAUGAGCUUUGGUCUUCAAGUUGCUUAGAACUGUGGACCCACUGUUCGCGGUGUGACCCCAAACCUUGGCUUCAUUAUCUGUACAAGUACAGAUACUGACAACCAGCUCAGACGGUUGUUCUAAGAAUUAAGUAUGUGACACCAUUGUGACACUUCUGUGUGCCAGGCUGUUUUCCAAGGACUUUGCGAUGUUGUCGAAUCUUCAUCAUUCAAGAAGGCGGUACUCUUGGUAUCCCCAUUCUUGAAAUAAGGAAAUCAAGGCACAGAGAGAUGAAGUAGCUCACCCAAGGUCACAGGAUUUGAAUGAUGGCCGCAGGCGGCAGGGUCCAUGCCUUUGUCCCCCCCAGGCACUACUGUCUCUUAUUAAUAAUGAUUGUUACCAAUUUUAGCUCGUAGUUAUUAAACACUUUCCUUGUGCCAGAAGCCUCAUGUAUGUUAACUACUCUAAUCCUCUCAGCCACCCUAGAAGGUGGGUACUUUCCCCAUCUUAACAAAUGAAGAAAAAAUGUUUCCUCUGUGCCCCACUCUGUCAGUAACACAGGAAAACAAAUUGCUGGUGAGACCAUCAUGUAUUAAAGCACUAAACGGUGGGUCCCGCUGUAACUGCCACAGUGAUUCAGAGAGAAGAGAAAUCAGCAGUGAAGGACUGCGGGGUUAUGUUCCAAUCGUAUAAGAUGAGGCACGUGGAAAAUGUGAAAUGUCUUACCCUUUAAGUUUUCCGUCAGGGCCCUUAGAUAUUUAUAGCCUCGGAACCAUUUCAGACAUGACGAAUGGCCAGCGAAGUUUGGGGCUGGUCCCGCUCUUUCCUCUCCUGAGAGUCACGGCUCAUUCUUUUCUGAGGUGGUAGGAAGAUCCAGGUGCUCUGCCAAACGGCCAUCGCCUUCCUCUCACACAAGAGGGCCAGCUCUCAGCAUAGCUCUUUUGCCUGUGACUUUCAGGAACUCACAACAGGGAAAGAAAUUCACCUGCGUUAUGAACUAACUCAGCCUUUCUCUGCUCAGAAACACCUUCCCGAGUCUGGUACGAAAGACAGGUUUUAGAGUCUAGAAUCUAAUGAACUUACUUUGUGCAGGAUGCCCAAGUGAGGUUUGGGAGAACAGACAGCUCUCUAAAUGAGGGCCACAUUUUUAGAAUGACGGCUUCUUUAGUGGCGGACAGUCCUGUAUUUCAAAAAUCCAAAGUAUCUGAGAUGUGGACCAGUUGAAGUUUGCACAAGUCAAACUAGCUAUUUAAGAACUGCAGUUUCUAGACAUACCUCCAGUGUUGCUGAUCCCCUUAGCAGAAACAGCCACAGAGUUCAUGACCAGUGGAGUCACGGGGACCCAGCCAGUCAUGCGCGUUGCUGGGCGGUGAAUGUGGCCUGAAUGAGUGAAAGGCAUGCGAAUUCUACAGACCGGCACUGCUGUAAGUUUUAGAAAUCCAGUGACGAGCAAGGCAGAAAAGUCCAGGGUCUCAUGGAGUUUACAUCCUACAAGGAGGAGUAAGAACUCAAUUCAGAUACGAUUAAGUGCUAUGCAGAAAAUUAAAACAGGGUGGCCAGGUGAGACCUCCAGAAAGAGGUGACAUUAAAGCUGAUGCCUGAUGGCAACCAACUUAUCUCAGCGUGGCUGGCCGGCCCUUUGAUGUCGCGUGGCAGUGCCCAGUUCACUUCUUGUCUCGUUCCCCAAGGAGGCUCUCCUGGAUCUUUUUACUCUUCUUAGGUUCCAGACCCAUCCCCACUUACCAGGUAAACUGGCCUCACAAUUAUGGAGACACUGUCCACUCCUUGUACUUCCUGACACCAAAAAUCCCAUCCUUGGCUCCACAAGUCCUCUCUUCCAUCUCCGCUGUCCCUUCCUCAGUUUCUCAUUUGUCCUCUCUCCACUGGCCCCUUCCCCUUAGCUUUUAACUAUUUGCAGAAUAACCCACUGUCUGUGUCCCCCCCACCCCUCCUGCACAUUCAUAUGUUCAAAGCCCUGACUCCCAAUUUGAUUGUACUUGGAGGUAGGGCCUUUGUGGAAAUAAUUAAGAGUAAAUGAGGUCAUAAGGGUUGGUCCCUGAUCUGAUAAGAUUGGUUUCCUUAUAAGAAGAGACACCAGAGAGCUCACUCUUUCCUCCGGAGCACGAAGAAGUCAUGUGAACACACGGCUAGAAGGCAGCCAUCAACAAGCCAGGAAGAGAGCCCUCACCAGAAGCCAAAUCAGUCAACACCUUGACCUUGGACUUCCCAGCAUCCAGAACUGUGAAAAAUAAAAUUCUGCAGUUUAAGCCACCCUGUCUGUAUAGUAUUUUAUUGGAACAGCCCGAGCUGACGGAGACACCAACCUUCAACAGGAAACAGAAAACCUCGCUGCUUCACCGCCUCCCUCCUUGCAAGCUCACAGCCACUUCUGCACACAGCUCCCCCCACAAUCUGGCCACUCACACCUCCCUCCCAC